CGGGGAGUUAAACUAGGAUUAGAUACCCUAUUAUUUUGAGUGUUAAUGUUUUUACCUGAGUAGUAUUAGUUGUGUUCUUGAAACUUAAAGAAUUUGGCGGUAUCCUACUCCGUUCAGAGGAAUCUGUCUCGUUAUCGAUAGUCCGCGUUGGACCUUACUUGGGGUUAAUUUUGGUUUGUAUACCGCCGUUUAUUGAUUAUCUUUUUAGAGUUUCUGAAUUUUCUGGUUUCUUUAAUUUGAUUUAUUGCAGGUCAAGGUGCAGCUUUUUCUAAGUGUUAAUGAUGGAUUACAGUGUUAUGUGUUGUUUGGAUUGUUUAUUUGAAUAUUGGCAUGAAAUUGGAUUUGGUUGUAAUGUUUUGUAGAUUGUUUUCAUGAUAGUUGGUUCUAGGAUAUGUACACAUCGCCCGUUCGCUUCUUCCUAUAC
Molecule: ribosomal RNA, 424 nt
Filed under: Odontotermes obesus
Lineage: Eukaryota; Metazoa; Arthropoda; Insecta; Blattodea; Termitidae
Description: partial 12S ribosomal RNA
Source: RNAcentral